CUCUCUCUCUCUUAAAAAACAUAAGGGGGGGUGCUAGGGAUAUAGCUCAGUGGCAAAGUACCCUGGGUUCAAACUCAAACUCCAGUACCAAAAUAAAAGAAGAAACAUGACUUUUGAAUAACCAAAGAUAAGCAUGUCCAGGUCAAAGAGAAUGCAUGUGGAUAAAGGAGGAACCUUGGGCUGAGUAGAUGAUGUUAACUUAUAUUGUUUUAAAAAGAGGUAGUGACUCCUUAAAGGAAUUAUCAUUUUUUCCUGAAAGACUGAGCCAUUCUUUGUUCACACCUAUGCCUUCUCUCUCAAUCCAAGUUGUAUCUUACACCUGAAGGUGAAACACUCCAUAUCCCAUUUCUUUUCCCAAUAAAGAUCUGCCCCAAAUUCAUACUUAUAUGAUACAGAUUCCUUUCAAUGCACCUUCUCAAAAGUUUAUAUCUCCUGUAUCAGAUUAUGCUAUGACACAUGGUAUGGCAAUGAGGGCAUAAGAGUCAAACAACACCAGAAAAGGCUCCAACUGUGCAAAAGUUACAUGCUCUGGUAUGCUGGUGAAAACCAGCAUCCAAAUUAGGUCACUUUUUAGAUUACCUCAUCACCUCCCUCCAUUGGGAAAAUACAUAGAACAAACACAGCUAAAAGAAAUCAUAUUCACUUGUAAAAAAUGGUACUCCUAUAGGCUGAAUUUGUAGCUCAGGGGUAUGAUGAUGGCCUAGCAUGCAUUAUUAGCAUAUGGGUUUGAUCCACAGCACAGAAAAACAAAAACAAGAUAGUUCUACAUCUUACACACACAAAAAAAAAAACAAACCCUAAUUUUAAAUUUAUAUGAACUAAAGUGAAAAGUAGGAACAUGGUACACAUCAACAAAUAUAACUAAUUCUUAAUUUUAUAGCCAAAAAGUAGUGUAGCAAUGAGAAAUAUACAAACUCUUAGUAAGAAAAUAAGACCAUAAGAAAAAUUAUCCUCAAUAAGACAAAUGCUUAAAACCAUAGAAUGAGACAGAGAGUCAGGUUCAAGUAAUGUGCUGAAAGAAAAUAACAAGAGAACUCAAGCAUCACUAUGUCCCUCUAGGGGCAGCCACACUGGGGGCAACAGACCUGGAAGUCCCACCAGGAAUCCCAGGUGGUCCAAACUGGUGGAGAUGCUCCUCAAUCAGGCACAAAAGUUCCAAGCUCAGGGUACUUGCUACUCUUCCCACAAGAAAGUUCCAGGGCUACCUCUGGCUCAGCUCCUUUGCCCUCCUUUUGCUUUCCAAGGAGACCAGCAGAGGAGGCUGGCCCCUCUUCCUCCACAGGCAAAGUUGAGCAGAUGACUGGGAUUAUGGGUCUGAAUCACUACUGCAGGGGAGAGCAAAGGGUGAAGCCAGGAGGCAAAGGUGGAGGCCUCAAGCCAAGGUGAAGACAACCCUGAGAUCCUUUGUUCAGGAAGGAAGCCAUUUGGGGAUCUCCUUGCUCCAGGUCACCUUCCUUUCUUGAGGAGCAACAGUGACAGGAUAGAUGCUCAUCAGAGAAGUUGAAGUAAAGGGCAGAGCUCCCUGGAACCCAGGUCUCCAUUAUUCCUGGGCCAGAGGAGGGACUAGUUGGCUACAGGGUUCCAUUGGCUUCAUGGCAAUGCUGUGUGCCUAUGGGGCAUCAGGCCCCCGGGGUUUGGGAGGAUGAAGGGCAUGAAUGGGCUUCCUGCUGAUGGGAAGGACUGGGAAACUUCUAGAGUGCCAGGGCAUCCAGGAAGCACAGCAUGGUAGCAGUCAAGGAUGAUGAGGGGGCUCAGGGACUGCUGAACAUGCAGGGGACCUAGCUUGGACUCCUGUAUCCUCUCCAUGUCUUCUUUCAAGCCUGCCUUUGUUUAGAGCCUUAUCACUGGCAUUUCUGGGUGCCAGGGCAUUAUUCUAAGGGUACCCCAGGAAGGUGUGUGGUCAAAAGUCUCCCAGAAAAAGGGACUGUUGUUCUUUGGAAACCCAAGCUCAACUCCAGACUGAAAGAAUGGGGCCCAGGGGAAGGGUUUAGCUUCCUGGUGGGCUUCCAUUGACAUAGGGUCUGGGCCUGGGGCCAGGGAGCAACACACUGUGGGGCUGUACCAAGGAAGGAAGUGGCUCCAGGUUAUGCAGUUCAGUGUUCUUGGGACUGUGGCAGAAGAGGUGUCUUUUUGGACCCAUGCACUCAAGGGAAGGAUGCGUGAUUCUCCCACAUGCUGGCCAAUGCACAAAGACUCCUGUAAGGGCAGCUUGAUGGUAAGUGUGCCUUGGGCCCAGAGCCUAGUCUAGCUAUCAGACCCUGCUGGGACUCCUUGAUACAGGAGGGGGCAGUGGAAUGCUGAAUCCAUGGGGUCAUAGGCAUCUCAUCCUGCCCCUUGUUCCCAGAGACCCACAAGUGCACUUGCAGGGGGCUUACAGGACUGGUGGUCACAGCUGCAGAUAGGGGUCACCUUUGGGGAUGGAACACUGGGGUCCAUAUAGGAAAUGACUGUGUGAGCCUGCCCCAAGGCUGGCAUCCUUCCCCCUCCUCAGCUGUUUUCCUCUUUCCAUCCAGGUCAUGCUCCCGACAGAAAUAACGCCUUGAUCCUCCUGGCAGCAGCCUAGCCCUGACUUUGCCAAUCCUCAAGGCCCCUUAGCGCACUGACCUGGCGUAUCCAUCUUGUGACAGAAGCAAAGCAGAUGGAUGCCUCUGACAGGCCAGGCACAGCUUGCCCUUCUACAGUCAAAUUCUUCCUUACCUGUAACUACAUUUAAUGGACUGUUUUAUCCUUGGAGUGAUUAUCUGAACUAUAAGGACUACUGAGUAAGAACCUGCUUUGUCAACUCCUGCCACUCAGGUAUGCUGCAGUGAAUCUAAUGAGUCUCCUGUCCCUUUGAACCAUGGUUUCAGGAUGCCAUUCUGAGAAUUGUUUGAGACUGAGGCACAGUCAUUCCUCCAUAACUACAGGAAAUUGAUUCCAGGAUCCCAUGUAGACACAAGAAUCUGCAGAUGCUCAAGCUCCUUAUAUAAAAUGAAAAAGACUACUAAGGAAGGAAUUUUUUACACUGUUGUGCUCAUGGGGCAAUUUGUACCACCAAAGUGUCUGACAGUAAAUAUGUGGCAUCUGGUUGACUAUAGUACCAGUGUUUAAAGAUCCAUUUCUGGUAAUGAAGACCAGUUUUGGCUUGUUGACACCAGUACAGCUGACACAUCCAAGUACCUGUCUUUUUUCCUGUCAACUUCAAUCAUGGUUUAACAAUACCAUUAUAGUCAAAGCUAGAACAAGUUAUUGACUUCAGAGAAAAGAGUCUCAUGAGAUAGAAGAGCUAGAAUCGGAUCUUCCACUUCAGAAAUAGGGGAUUGAAUGGGAUAUUACAGAGAGGUAGAGAAUAUGGUAGCAAAGGCAUUUACCAGAAGCAGACAGAACUGGAAACCUCUACCCUGAAAUUAACUGGAAAUGCUUACUUAUAUACUAGUAGAAGUACAUGCUAAUAUGUAUGUAUUUGCCAUACGGAUUUCAAUAAAAGUGUACCAUUUGACAUCACCAGGAGUAACAGGUAAGUUAUAACCAAAAUACAGGGGAAAACAAUGCACAUAAAUAUUUCAUUUGGGAAAUAAAUCAUACUAUAAACACUGAUGAUUAUAUUACAAAUACAGUUCUAAUUUUGCAGCUGAGAAAUUGCAAGUUUGCUUAUUUGGUAAGUAAUAUUUAGAGACAAAAGUCCUCUUAAGAAUUGAGUACCUCACCUAAUCAGAACAGAGUCCCUGGUAUAGCCACCAUCAUAUUCUGUAGUUUCUUCUAGUGCUUGGAAAUCUAGAUUCUGCAAAUUCAAGAAAAUAUGUCUUAAUAUCUUCUACAUUACACCAUUAAAACAAUACGUGAUGUUUUAAAACAAUUUUUGUGGGGGCAGACAUUUGCUUUCUUACCCGGCUUCCACAUAUGAGCAAUUCAAUUUCUUCUGGUCUGAAUAAAUACUUUAAGGGAGAUUCAUUGGUCACCAUAUGAAAACCUCUGCGAAAAGCCUUGAACUGUUUUUCUACUGAUUUGUUGAGAAUGUAGUCAGAAUAGAGAUUGACAAAUUCCUGCCGAAAACAUUAACCACAAGAAUGUCUUAUAAUAUGUUAUUUAAAAAAAAACAACCUAAUUAGUGGGCAAAUCAUUCAAGAACACUUUUCAAAAUUAAAAUUUUAUACAAAGGAAAAUAUCUUACAAUUUCAUAAUUCUCUACAAUAAUCAAUAUUAAGCUGUAAAAAGUUCAUGUGCAUAAAAUGGUAAUAUAUGUUUCAAUUUUCAUAGUAUUUUAAACAAGACUGAAUAUAAAAGCUGAGGCCUCAAAUGGGCAUGGUGGCACAUACCUGUAAACCCAGUGGCUUGGAGGCUGAGGCAGAAGGAUCGAAAGUUCAAAGCCAGCCUCAGCAAAAGCAAGGUGCUAAGCAACCCAGUUGAGACCCUGUCUCUAAAUAAAAUACAAAAUAGGACUGGGGUUGUGGCUCAGUGGUUGAGCGCCCCUAAAGUUCAAUCCCUGGUAUCAAAAAAUAAAAAAGCUGAGGCCUUAAUAUAAUGUUUUAGGUUCCCUUACAUUUAAACCAUGUGUACAUUUAUAAUAGUCAAAACUUUUAAUACAGUAUAAUGUAUUGAAUUUGAGCAAACCAGAAAGUCUCAUGCUAUCUACUACAGAAUAUUGAUAAGCUGCCUACACAUCUAGUUCAUAAAAAAUCUGGUGUUUUGCUUGAUGCCUAAGCUACUACACUGAAUCAUAAAAGGAACUUUAUAUCCUAACUUAAUAAGUAUAAUAUUUUAAUAUAAACACAUGUCCUUAUAGGUAUACUACAAAUGUAUAUAAUUUUCCUGCUACUUGUUUUCAGACAAAUAACAUUUUGGUCAACAAAAAUCCAAAUCUGAUGUAAAGAAUGCUUUAGAAGUACAAUUUAUAUACCAAAUGAGAAAUACACAUACACAUUAAAUGCAAUUAUCAUUUUUUUGUGUGUGGUAAAAACUUUAAUCACAAGGUCCUAUUUGCUUCUUAAAUUUAAGGUACAAAAACCCUGUUUAGGUACUCAUUCUCUCCUACUAAAUGUCCUCUUAUAAAGGAAUUUAGUACUCAACUGUGUGCUCACACACCAGAUUAAAUCCAAGUUUUAGAAAACUGUAGCUCUACCAUUUGCAUGAAUUUGGUUACUUAAUUCCUUUGUUCUUGGUUCCAACUCUAUUAUACUUCUUUAAAAAUUAUAAGCAUACAGGUUUUGAAAUUGUUAUCAAAGAGACAAAAACAAUGACAAUAUAAAAACAUUCAUUACCUUCCUGUUUUCAUUUGUAAUUGGAAUUUUAUCACCAUUUUCUUUUAGAUCAUACAUCAUUGGGUUACCAAAAAGAUCUGUUUGUGAUAUCUGGAAAGUGAUCAUCAUAUCAUCUUCCACAUUUCCUUCAUAUUCUACUGGGAUCGGUGGUGCACAUCUGUAAUCUCAGUGGAUCUGGAGGCAGGAGCACCAAAGCCAGCCUCAGCAAUGGCCAGGCACUGAGCAAGUUUAUGUUAAACUCCAGCCAUCAUGUCAUUUUCAAACUAUCCCAGGAAUAACUGCAACAACAACAUAUACAACUUAAAAGCACUUUACACAUUGCAACCAUUUAAUCUUCACAACAACUUCAUCAGGUAUAGGAACUUGAGAAAUGGUGGCAGAUGUGAAGGCUUAAGAGCUAUUUUCCCAUGAUAUUAUGGCUAGGACCAUAACUCUGUUGAGACAUCAUGGGAGCAAGCAAAUCAUCUGUGACACACCUGAUCUCCACCAGCCUUGUGGAAAUAAAAUGGACCUGUAGAAUUUCUACGUUCUACUUUCAGAAAUGAAAGUGCCUUUCAACUCAGAAAGAAAGAAAGUGGAUUGGCGGGAGAAAGGGAGAGACAGAGAAAAAGAGGUGAGGAAGAAAAAGAAGGAGGGAAGAAUGAAGAGGAGAGAGAGGAAAGGAGAAGGCAGGAAGUGUCAAUGAUACGACCUACAAAUCGUUCUUCUCCUCCUUUAAAAAUGAUGAUAAAAGCAGGAAGAAUCCAGGCAGCAAGCUUCUAAAUUGCUCUGAGUACUUACUUACCCAGUACUCUGGGGAGAGACCAUCAUCAGGUUGCUGAGUCUUAUGAGAUACUCUCAAUACCUGAGUAAUUGCUUUUCUCAUUUAACUUUCCAGUAAAGAUGGGAUAAAACAAUAUGAACACGUUACUCUGUUAGAGAAAGGAAGUAGAGGACAGUUAUGCAGAAAAUCCUCAAGGUGAAAUGGCACUCAGGACAGAGAGGGAGUCUAAUUAGUCUAGAUAUGAAGGACACAUUAAAACAUAAAUUGUAUUUACUUCUGGGAGCUAAGUAAUAUUUACUUUACUUAUUUAGAUCUUUCUUCUUGAAUGAGCACAAAUUAUUUUUAUAAAAUACUAGGUUGUUUCUUUUGCUUUGGGAGUAGAAAAAUUUUAUCUGGCUUAAAUGGAACCCAGAAGCUGUGGAUUAAAAAUAAUUCUUAUGCCCUAAGCCAUCAAGAGUCCAAGUAUUUGUUUGCUUCUGUUGCUAUGCCUGAGGGCUUUUAAUCUGCCAUAGGGGGCAGUUUUUGCUGAGUCAGGGGGGCAGAGGCUGGCAUUGAGUUUCUACACUCAGAAGGAGGAUGCAGGGUUUGGAGAGAGCUACUGCCUUUCAUGGGAAUCUUGACCCCUCAGAAAUGAGAAGUCAGAAGUUAAUCGAAUUAUUAAAGAAAAAACUCUGAAUGAUAGUAGCAUAUGCAGAACUGUUGGGGACUCAAAGGACUGAGGAUGACACCAAAGCAGAGAGAAGCACACCCUUCAAUUGAUUCUCUGGUGCCAGGAACAAUCUAAAACUGCAGGCUGAGUGUGGAUAUUGUUGUCAUGUGAUGGACAGGGGCAGGUGAGAGGAGCAGAGUAAGGCCUCUUUAGGCAGAUGGGGUCUCGUCAGUCUGGGAGUUAAAGUUGAAAACCAGGGCAAGUGAUAGCUUCAGUUCAAGCCAUCAUUGGUGGCCUUAUUUUAUGAUCACAGAAGGAGGAGGCUCAGCAUGAGACUGAAGUUACUAGGACCCCAAAGAAAGUGUAUUUAUAACAAGCAAGAACUUUUACAACCACUGGGAUUCAGCCCAGUGGUUGUGGGCUUCAUGGUCCUGAAAGCACCAAAGUUUACAAAGCAUCUGGGGGGUUCUGAUGAAGAAAGGUGGCAGUUGUGCUGACUGCCACAUAUGCCUGCCCAGCCCCCAUGGGACUUCAGGAGAGGCACUCCUUGAGCAUUACAAUGCCCCCUCCACUUGCUGCCCGCCACCCACUCCCGUGAAAGACAAGGCCAGAGCUACAAACAUCUGCUGCAGCAAGGCAUACCAAAUGCAAGCACAUUAAAGUGAGGCGACAGCUGAUUGACUUAAACAUUUGGUCAUGAAAGAAAGAACUUUGCAACGUGACUGGAGAAGCCCAAAUGUGCUUGAACACAGACCAGGGUGGAGAUCAGUGUGACACCAUGGGUUUGAUGGGGAGUUGUGCAUCAUCCUAGAAGACUUUUCUUCCUCUUUCUCAGGGCACAGGCCAAAGUCAAUGACAAAAUCAAAAUCAACAUAAAGACCCUUCACUGAGAAAGUUUUCUUCUUCCUCCUCCUUCUCUUUCUUUUUACUGAGAAAGUGCUAUUUUCUGAACCCCCUCCCUCCCAGUAAGGUUGAAUAAAACUUCAGAAAGUGAUUCAACCACGUUUUCAUAAAUAAAGAGAUCUGGCAGCCAUUAUUAUUUCUGUAAUGGACUAUAUUUACGAAUAAACUAAUCUGAGCAACCCA
This is a non-coding RNA of Ictidomys tridecemlineatus (thirteen-lined ground squirrel), 7735 nucleotides long. The record is from RefSeq and is a predicted model, not a curated record. NCBI's taxonomy places the organism in Eukaryota, Metazoa, Chordata, Mammalia, Rodentia, Sciuridae.